This 322-nucleotide ribosomal RNA is filed under the name uncultured bacterium. RNAcentral describes it as "bacterial SSU rRNA". It matches the Rfam family "Bacterial small subunit ribosomal RNA", at positions 335 to 640 of the family's 1533-position model. The record is from RNAcentral.
ACUCCUACGGGAGGCAGCAGUGGGGAAUAUUGGACAAUGGGGGAAACCCUGAUCCAGCCAUGCCGCGUGUGUGAAGAAGGCCUUCGGGUUGUAAAGCACUUUCAGUGGGGAGGAAAGGUUGAUGGUUUAAAUACCUNUCAGACUGGUGGCACGUUUACCCACAUGAAAGAAGCACCGGCUAACUCCGUGCCAGCAGCCGCGGUAAUACGGAGGGUGCAAGCGUUAAUCGGAAUUACUGGGCGUAAAGCGUGCGCAGGCGGUCUGUUAAGCGAGAUGUGAAAGCCCCGGGCUCAACCUGGGAACUGCAUUUCGAACUGGCAGA